RNAcentral lists this long non-coding RNA (296 nucleotides) under Brachypodium distachyon (stiff brome). RNAcentral's name for it is "long non-coding RNA (BDIS_LNC002764)". Lineage: Eukaryota; Viridiplantae; Streptophyta; Magnoliopsida; Poales; Poaceae. The record is from RNAcentral.
CCACCAUGACCGGCGCCACCGCAAGGACCAGAACCAGGGCCAGGAUCAGGAUGGAGUACUUGACCGCCGCCAUUGUUUUGUAGCUAUAUGUAGCAUGCGAGAUCGAUCUUUAUAUGUAUGUAUAUAUAGGAGCUAGAGGUUGUGUACGUCUACGUGUGGUGGUUUCAGGUUUUUGGUAACUCGCGGGAUUGAGAAGUUUAUGCCAUGAUUUGCAGCACAUUGCCUUGUUAUAUGAUCCUUCCAUCCAAAAAUAAAAAGGUAAAUCUUAAUAUAAAAAACAAAAAAAUGUAAGUAGG